GCUAAGAGUAAAAUUCAAGGUGAAACCUGCCCAGUGAACUUAAUACACUUUAUAAUAAAAUAUUUAUCCUAGUUUAAACGGACGCAGUAUUUUGACUGUGAUAAUGUAGCAUAAUCAUUUGCCAUUUAAUUAAUGGAUAGUAUGAAAGGUUAAACGAAUAUUUCAUUGUCUUAAAAAAAAUAAAUAUUAAAUUAGAUUAAUAGUUAAGAUACUAUUUAAAAUUGUAAGACGAAAAGACCCUAUAGAGCUUAACUAAAACUUUUAAAAAUUAAGAGUAGAUAGUUUAGUUGGGGCGACUAUCUUUUAUUUAGAACAAAGAUAAACAAAAGAUAAUACAUAAUUUCUUUAUUGUAAAAUCCAUAAAUUUAACAAUUAUUAAUAUAGGUUAUAGUGACCCGUUAUAUUAAAAUAUAACGAUUAGUAAAUAAAAGCUACCUUAGGGAUAACAGAAUAAUUUUAAUUAAGAGAUCGUAUCAAAGUUAAAGUUUAUCACCUCUAUGUUGAAUUAAGAUAUCCUAAUAAUGUAGAAGUUAUUAAAGGUAGGUCUGUUCGACCUUUAAAAU
This 563-nucleotide ribosomal RNA is filed under the name Frillagalma vityazi. Its description in RNAcentral is "partial large subunit ribosomal RNA". It matches the Rfam family "Bacterial large subunit ribosomal RNA", at positions 1833 to 2594 of the family's 2925-position model. Lineage: Eukaryota; Metazoa; Cnidaria; Hydrozoa; Siphonophorae; Agalmatidae. The record is from RNAcentral.